Heterocephalus glaber (naked mole-rat) is the source of this 687-nucleotide non-coding RNA. NCBI's taxonomy places the organism in Eukaryota, Metazoa, Chordata, Mammalia, Rodentia, Bathyergidae. The record is from RefSeq and is a predicted model, not a curated record.
AGAUCCCCCAUACUGAAACAAAAUUUACUGACUCCUAAAAUGGCUGAGUCAAGAGGAUUCUGCAGUGUCCAUGGGGCAAGACUGGACCAAAUUCCCCUAGGAACUUUCAGCCCCUGGUGUCCAGAAUGCUCUGAAAUUUCACAUAUUAAAAAUGAAAUUUAAUCAAGAUCUAGAGAAUGACCGUCCAUCUUCAAAUAGGUGGGGGAUGUGCUGUCCUGUACUGCUGUCCUCAGAGAUGUGACAAACGUCAGCCAGGAUGGUUGGCUCACAUGUAUUCUCCAGAGAGGCUGCAGAGCUGCAUUUCUCAGAGGUCACCAUGGAAUUCUGUGUCCCAGGUCAACUCCAUGAGGACAGGAAUAGGUAUCUGCUGUGUUAUUGCACUCAAGGGCACAGGGCUGCUGCUCCAUAAAAAUCUGAUAACCUUGUGCUCCCCAAACAACAAGCAGCCCUGUCAUAGGCUUCUGCCUCAGGAGGACAGAAGAUGACAAUGGAGCUGUGGACAACCACUUGGACACUGCCCUUCUCCUCUCUACCCUGUCCGGGGUGGGAAUGUGACACAACUCCAGGCUCAUAGCUCCCACCACCUGUGCCUGUCCAGGAGGACUUCUCUCAGCACCCUGUUCCCCCUCCCAUCUCCCACACACUCUGAGGAUGAAGUGCUGGAUUUGGGCCAAGGGACUCACAGUG